RNAcentral lists this long non-coding RNA (3419 nucleotides) under Homo sapiens (human). Its description in RNAcentral is "non-protein coding lnc-PXYLP1-3:9". The record is from RNAcentral. Lineage: Eukaryota; Metazoa; Chordata; Mammalia; Primates; Hominidae.
GAAGCCAGGAAACUAGUUGGGGAGUGGCACUCGCAGCUGCAGCAAAUCUCAAAAUAAAGAGGCAACGGCCUUUCUCUUCCUCUCCAUCUCCCUAUAGCACACCUUUUAUUUCUUUUCUUCUUUUUUUUAAGCCUCACGAAAGAUUUUACUUGUAGAUCAACUUUCAAAAUGUAGGAAGUCAGAAUGGGUGACAUCAUCAGAAAAAUAUGUGGAGCUGAUCACAAGAAGUGAAGAACCCAGAGCACGAAAGCGGUUGUGACUCCUGGGCCCAGGGAGUUGACAGCGUCUGGGUUUCAGAGGAGCCAGCGCCUCCGAGUUGUCUUGAAGUGAGGCUCUGCUGUAGUCCUGUUCUUCUGGCUCUAAGAUCUGAAUGUUGUGACCACUAAUUUGCUCUUUCCUGGAGAGUAACCCCAGUUUGGUCCACAAGGCUUGCUGCCCAAUCUUUGCCAACAGUUGAACCAAGACUCUGAGGCUGAUAUGCAAUGUCACUUACAACAUUAAUCAGAUACUGCAUUUAAGGUGAGCUGUCCCUUGCCUCCUCCUUCCCCAGUGCUCGUGUGCUGCAUGCAGUGCGUAUCUUGCUUCUGCGAGCCUAAGAUGGCAGGCAGGAUUAGCCGUGCUUGUGCUGUGUGUGCAUGCUGUGUCUAGAAUUCAUUACACGUUGCCUAGUAUUUCAGAUGUGAGUAUGUAAAUGCUCUGUAUGCCAUAUCAUCUGGUAGCGAAGACUUGUUUUUGCCUCAUUACAGCCUUAGAUAUUUCAACAUCACCUUUCAUUUCCAAUUCAUUUGCUUCUGGAUGUUUGUUUUUCAUCACAUUCAAAAUAUGAUUUUACCUUUUUUUUUUUAACAAAACCAAAACCCCCCACAAACCCUAAAAACAAAAACAACAACAACAAAACUCUGCUACCAGAUGGUGUCUCUCCUUUCUUCGUGCAUUUGCUGUCUUUUAAAUAAUGUAUGUUGUAUUGUUAAUUAAUGUGAAUAUCAAAUUAAACACUUGAAACUUACAUGUUUAUUAUGCAGGUAGGAGGCAAGGUGGAUUCUAUUUUUAACUCUUAUGCACUCCAUCAUGUGCAAGCAACUUGGGUUCUCAAAUUUGUAUUUUCAAUGCUGGUAUCAGUGGUUUGAUUUUCAGCAAAUGUGACAGUGGCCUUUGCAGUGGUCAGCUCCGAGCUUUGAACUCUCAGAGGAGGAAGGGGAAAAAAAUUCAACACACCACCUCCUUGGUUGCAGUCUCAGAAAAACCUUGGAUGAGAAACUUCUUUUUUCAAUCCUGUUUUCCUGUUGAUAAAUUCAGUUCUGUGAUCACAGUUCAUUCAAGCUGUUCUGCGUAUGAUUUUUGUGUGUAUGUGACAAUUGCAUCUAAAACUUGUGAGCAAGAAGACAGAGAAAUCAGUUGGUCUCCAUCGCUUUACAUAAAAAUGGCUGAGUGUCUUGUCAUGCUAGCACUGCAUUAAGUGAUGCAUACAGGUAGGUUGAAAUUUGCAUGUUUUUAUAGUUUUUUUUGAGCCAUGCAGCAAGAACAUUAGAUGCAUUAGAAUAUGACUUUUAAAAAAACAAAAAUUAAAUAAGACAGCUGUAAUCUUUUGGGGGAGGGUUUUUAAUUGGACAGCCUCUGCUAUUCAGAUAGUAUAUAAAUGUAUAGCUUUUACAAACUUAGUAAAUGAUUCUGCCAUAAAAGGGAGAUUUUUUUUAAAAAAAAAUCAUAUAUAUGAUAGGUGUGGUGCCAUUAGACAACAAAAGAAUUUUUUGAAAAGAGUGAUGAUUCAGCUCCAUUUCAGCUUGAAACUAAAAAUAAAUGGGUUUCUGGAGAUGAUUUCAAAGAGCGUAAACAAGCUUAAUAAGAAACAUUAAAAAUAUUUAAAUUUUAAGAAGCGGUCUUUAAACGUGUUUAUGAAAGAUGAAAAUAAAAACUGAUAUGCUUCCAAAAUUAAUUUUAGGUAAUAUACAAGAAUACAUUAUAUUAUGUAUAUAAUUUGGGGGGAUGAGGAGUUACAAUUUUUAAAGAGGGAAAUAUUAAAUAUAGAUGGCCCUCUUAAAAGAAAUAGAGCUUCACUAAAUGAAACCGAGCCCCUAGAAUGGUUCAUUGCAGACCAUAUAGCUGUGGUUCUGGCACUUUUCAAAAUAAUUUCAUGAGCUCUUUCUUUUGAACUUAACUUCUCAAAUAUAUUUUAGUUUCAAAUUUAACACUGGGCCAGAACCUGUUUCCUUGGUAACCAAAUCGUAUUUAAACAUGUAAUAACAGAUAUGCAAAAGAAUGUCUUUAAAAAGGAAACAAAUGUUUAAUGAAAAAUUUACAGUUCUUUUUCCUCUCAUAUAGAAUCUGAACUGGUUUUAGAUGGUUUUUAAUGCGGUCUUCAAGCCUUAAAAAUUAAGCCAUGUUUCUAAACAUAUAGAGAAAGCUUGCACAGUGACAGCUUUUCUCUCCCUCCUUUGUGCUCAGUACUUUCAAAAUUAAGGUUUUCUUUGCAGUAUGCUCCAGAAUGCAGGUCAAGGUUUGUGUACAGAGGUGUAGUUUCAUUAUCACAAGUUCACCAGCGCCACUGAAACAAAAGGUAUUUCAGAAAUUCUGAGAAUCAGAAAAUGCUUGUACUCUUGCCUUCCCUGAUCCCUCCGUUGGUAACCUCAGUGCUGUCGGUAGAAAAGGACCCACAUCCAAGCCUACCCCUCCAAUGACAAGUGCACCCUGAACCUUUGUGGAAAUAUCUCUAUAGGUGUGUUAGGAAGAUGGUGCUAAACCUGAAACCUCCCCGAGGUUUGCUUCAAUGUGAAGAACAUUGAGAUUCAAAACCAUCUGUGUAAAUGGCUGCUUUAUUCUAGCAGUUUAACUAAUAUUCUAUUCCAUAGCACUAUCGUAGAAUUGAACCUCUCUAAUGGGCUGAAGGGUGGUGGUGGUUGUUGUCAUGUUGUUUUGUGGCCAACUAAAAUAUUUUGCUUGGAGUCUUUCUCUGGUUCAAUUAUUUUGGAACGUGAUUCAUCUCAUACUGAUUUUGUUCUCCAGGCUUGCCAUGAAAUACCCUUCCUGCAACACCUUUUUUUUUUUUUUUUUUGGCUGUUGGGAGCCAUUUUCCUUCUUGCCUGUGACUUUAAAUGACUAAGUACAUUUUGAAUAUAGUAUCAAUCAGAAGAUUGUAAACUGAAGGGAAAUAUCAGAAACCUGAUUCAAUAUUGCCUAUUUUUUUUAGUACCAACAGCAUUAACAGUUGCAAUAGGAUCAAGCUAAUUGUCAUUCGCUCUUGAGCAAAUAAUGAGCCAGGCAUUUAUAAUUAAAACACUACUGCUAGUCAGAAAGCUUAUAACUACAAUGUCUUCUAUUUUGAUAGGCCAGUACAAAGUAAUCAUUUUGCACCUAUUUGAAUCUUAAUUACAAGAUUAGAUGGAUGCAAUGCAAUUGUUUUACCAUUAAAAUGAAUGCCUGAU